This 516-nucleotide ribosomal RNA is filed under the name uncultured Acidobacteriota bacterium. Its description in RNAcentral is "bacterial SSU rRNA". It matches the Rfam family "Bacterial small subunit ribosomal RNA", at positions 390 to 896 of the family's 1533-position model. Lineage: Bacteria; Pseudomonadati; Acidobacteriota. The record is from RNAcentral.
AGCAACGCCGCGUGGAGGACGAAGGUCUUCGGAUCGUAAACUCCUGUCAGACGGGACGAAGGAUUGAGGGUGAACAAUCCUUGAUCUUGACGGUACUGUCAGAGGAAGCCCCGGCUAACUCCGUGCCAGCAGCCGCGGUAAUACGGAGGGGGCGGGCGUUAUUCGGAAUUAUUGGGCGUAAAGGGCGCGUAGGCGGCUUGACAAGUCAAAGGUGAAAUCCCUCGGCUCAACUGAGGAACUGCCUUUGAAACUGUCAGGCUUGAGUCCGGGGAGGGGGUAGCGGAAUUCCCAGUGUAGCGGUGAAAUGCGUAGAUAUUGGGAGGAACACCAGUGGCGAAGGCGGCUACCUGGACCGGAACUGACGCUGAUGCGCGAAAGCGUGGGUAGCAAACAGGAUUAGAUACCCUGGUAGUCCACGCUGUAAACGAUGGGUGCUCGGUGUCGCGGGUAUCGACCCCUGCGGUGCCUUAGCCAACGCGUUAAGCACCCCGCCUGGGGAGUACGGUCGCAAGGCUG